AGCGAACGCUGGCGGCAGGCUUAACACAUGCAAGUCGAGCGGGCACCUUCGGGUGUCAGCGGCAGACGGGUGAGUAACACGUGGGAACGUACCCUUCGGUUCGGAAUAACGCUGGGAAACUAGCGCUAAUACCGGAUACGCCCUUAUGGGGAAAGGUUUACUGCCGAAGGAUCGGCCCGCGUCUGAUUAGCUAGUUGGUGGGGUAACGGCCUACCAAGGCGACGAUCAGUAGCUGGUCUGAGAGGAUGAUCAGCCACACUGGGACUGAGACACGGCCCAGACUCCUACGGGAGGCAGCAGUGGGGAAUAUUGGACAAUGGGCGCAAGCCUGAUCCAGCCAUGCCGCGUGAGUGAUGAAGGCCUUAGGGUUGUAAGGCUCUUUUGUCCGGGACGAUAAUGACGGUACCGGAAGAAUAAGCCCCGGCUAACUUCGUG
RNAcentral lists this ribosomal RNA (435 nucleotides) under uncultured bacterium. RNAcentral describes it as "partial 16S ribosomal RNA". It matches the Rfam family "Bacterial small subunit ribosomal RNA", at positions 29 to 507 of the family's 1533-position model. The record is from RNAcentral.